UGAAGUAAGUAAGGGCGUACGGUGAAUGCCUUGGUGCCAACAGGCGAAGAAGGACGCGGCAAGCUGCGAAAAGCCUCGGGAAGCUGCAAGCAAGCGAUGAUCCGGGGAUAUCCGAAUGGGGUAACCUGAUCGAGGCAAUACUCGAUCGUUCAUACCUGAAUACAUAGGGUAUGAAACGCGAAACCCGCUGAAGUGAAACAUCUCAGUAAGCGGAGGAAAAGAAAGAGAAAUCGAUUCCGUAAGUAGUGGCGAGCGAAAGCGGAUGGAGCCCAAACCGAAGGUAUUCCUUCGGGGUUGUAGGACCACGUCAUAUUCGACCAUACUGGAUAGUAGAACAGCCUGGAAAGGCUGGCCGGAGAAGGUGAAAGCCCUGUAGACGAAAUCCAGAGUGGGAAUUAGUGGUAUCCUGAGUAAUACAUCACACGUGGAACGAUGUAUGAACCCGCGCGGACCACCGCGCAAGGCUAAAUACUAGUUGGCGACCGAUAGUGAACAAGUACCGCGAGGGAAAGGUGAAAAGAACCGCUGUGAGCGGAGUGAAAUAGAACCUGAAACCGUAUGUCUACAAAGUGUCAGAGCAGAGCAAUCUGCGAUGGCGUGCCUUUUGUUUAAUGAGUCUGCGAGUCAGUGUUUGUGGCAAGACUAAGGGCUUCCGGCCCGGAGUCGCAGCGAAAGCAAGUCCGAACAGGGCGCAAUAAGUCGCAGGUACUGGACCCGAAGCGGAGGUGACCUACCCUUGGCCAGGUUGAAGCAUGGGUAAAACCAUGUGGAGGACCGAACAGGUGAACGUUGAAAAGUUCUCUGAUGAGCUGAGGGUAGGAGUGAAAGGCUAAUCAAACCCCGUGAUAGCUGGUUCUCUUCGAAAUGCAUUUAGGUGCAGCGUCACGUGCUGAUGCGCGGGGGUAGAGCACUGACAAGGCUAGGGGGCACACCCGCUUACCAAACCUUAUCAAACUCCGAAUACCGUGCAAUGGAACGUGGCAGUGAGACAGUGGGGGAUAAGCUUCAUUGUCGAGAGGGAAACAACCCAGACCAGCAGCUAAGGUGCCUAAAUAACGCUCAGUGGAAAGGAUGUGGGAUUACACAGACAGUGAGGAUGUUGGCUUAGAAGCAGCCACCAUUUAAAAAAUGCGUAAUAGCUUACUCAUCGAGUGAUCCUGCGCCGAAAAUGAUUGGCGAUCAAGCGUUAUACCGAAGCUCUGGACUUUGCCGCAAGGCAGAGUGGUAGAAGAGCGUUGCAUGCGCGUCGAAGGGCGAUGGCGACUGACCCUGGAGCACAUGCAAGUGAGUAUGCAGACAUGAGUAACGUUAAGCCGGGUGAAAUCCCCGGCCGCCGUAAACCCGAGGUUUCCAGGGCAACGUGUUUCGUCCCUGGGUUAGCCGGGACCUAAGCCGAGGCCGAGAGGCGUAGGCGAUGGACAUCAGGUUAAUAAUCCUGAGCUCGCAACCCUUAAACUGGGGGGACGCAUGAGAAAAGAUGACUAGGUUAUUGAAUUCCGAGUUGAGUCUACGGACUCAGCGCAUCAUUGGAUCGAGUGCCAAGAAAAGCCCCAGCGUAUGCUAAGCGACCCGUACCGCAAACCGACACAGGUGGGUGGGUAGAAUAUACCAAGGCGUAAGAGUGAAACCUGGUUAAGGAACUCGGCAAAUUAGCCCCGUAACUUCGGAAGAAGGGGUGCCUGCAGCGAUGCAGGCCGCAGAGAAAUGGCCCAACCGACUGUUUAUCAAAAACACAGCACUCUGCAAAGACGCAAGUCGAAGUAUAGGGUGUGACACGUGACCAAUGCCGAAAGAUUAAGGCAAGGGGUUAGCCGCAAGGCGAAGCUCUAAACCCAAGUCCCGGUGAAUGUCGGCCGUAACUAUAACGGUCCUAAGGUAGCGAAAUUCCUUGUCGGGUAAGUUCCGACCUGCACGAAUCGUGAAACGAGUUGGGCACUGUCUCAACCAGGCGCUCAGUGAAAUUGUAGUGGCGGUGAAGAUGCCGCCUACCCGCAGAAGGACGGAAAGACCCUAUAGACCUUAACUGUAAGCUGUCAUUGUUUCUUCGGUUUUAAUGCUCAGAGUAAGUGGGAGACGCUGAAGACGCCCUUUAGGGGGCGUCCGAGUCAUCAAUGAGACACCACCCUUUGAAACUGGAGGAUCUAACCCUGAGCCGUGAAUCCGGCCAGAGGACCGUGUCAGCCGGUCAGUUUUACUGGGGCGGUAUCCUCCCAAAGAGUAACGGAGGAGCGCGAAGGUGGGCUCAGCCCGGUUGGCAACCGGGUGUCGAGUGCAUGGGCAUAAGCCCGCCUAACUGUGAGACCAACAAGUCGAGCAGAUGCGAAAGCAGGCCCAAGUGAUCCGGCGGUAGAAAGUGGAAUUGCCGUCGCUCAACGGAUAAAAGGUACCUUAGGGAUAACAGGCUGAUCACGCCCAAGAGUUCAUAUCGACGGCGUGGUUUGGCACCUCGAUGUCGGCUCGUCGCAUCCUGGGGCUGGAGAAGGUCCCAAGGGUUGGGCUGUUCGCCCAUUAAAGCGGCACGCGAGCUGGGUUCAGAACGUCGUGAGACAGUUCGGUCCAUAUCCGGUAUGCGCGCAAGAGAUUUGAACGGAGUCUUCCUUAGUACGAGAGGACCGGGAAGAGGGAACCUCCAGUGUACGGGUUAUUCUGCCAAGAGUAAACGCCCGGUAGCUGUGUUCCAAGCGGAUAAGUGCUGAAAGCAUAUAAGUACGAAGCCCACCGUAAGAUGAGAUCUCUCAUGACACAAGUCAGUAAGUUCCCACGAAGAUCACGUGGUUGAUAGGUCAGAGAUGUAAGUAUGGCAACAUAUUCAGUCGACUGAUACUAAUAGAACGAGGGCUUUUCCU
This 2846-nucleotide ribosomal RNA is filed under the name metagenome. Its description in RNAcentral is "bacterial LSU rRNA". It matches the Rfam family "Bacterial large subunit ribosomal RNA". The record is from RNAcentral.